UACGAAGGGGGCUAGCGUUGCUCAGAAUCACUGGGCGUAAAGGGUGCGUAGGCGGGUCUUUAAGUCAGGGGUGAAAUCCUGGAGCUCAACUCCAGAACUGCCUUUGAUACUGAAGAUCUUGAGUUCGGGAGAGGUGAGUGGAACUGCGAGUGUAGAGGUGAAAUUCGUAGAUAUUCGCAAGAACACCAGUGGCGAAGGCGGCUCACUGGCCCGAUACUGACGCUGAGGCACGAAAGCGUGGGGAGCAAACAGG
RNAcentral lists this ribosomal RNA (253 nucleotides) under uncultured bacterium. RNAcentral's name for it is "partial 16S ribosomal RNA". It matches the Rfam family "Bacterial small subunit ribosomal RNA", at positions 524 to 776 of the family's 1533-position model. The record is from RNAcentral.